UGCAGUCGAACGAGAAGCGUUCUUCGGAACGUGAGUACAGUGGCGGACGGGUGAGUAACACGUGGGGAACCUGCCCUCAAGCUGGGAACAACCCGCCUAACGGCGGGCUAAUACCGAAUGUGGUUGUCAGUCCGCAUGGAAUGACAAUUAAAGGUGGCCUCUCCUUGGAAGCUACCGCUUGUGGAUGGCCCCGCGCUCAAUUAGCUAGUUGGUAGGGUAACGGCCUACCAAGGCGACGAUUGAUAGCCGACCUGAGAGGGUGACCGGCCACACUGGGAUUGAGAUAAGGCCCAGUCUCCUACGGGAGCCAGCAGUCUAGAAAUUUGGGCAAUGGGCGAAAGCCUGACCCAGCGACGCCGCGUGGGGGAUGAAGCUUCUCGGAGUGUAAACCCCUGUUAGGUGGGACGAAAGCCCGUAUACGAACAGUAGGCGGGUUUGACGGUACCACCAGAGGAAGCUCCGGCUAACUCCGUGCCAGCAGCCGCGGUAAUACGGGGGGAGCAAGCGUUGUUCGGAGUUAUUGGGCGUAAAGGGCGUACAGGCGGUGGUGUCAGUCAGAUGUGAAAUCCCCCGGCUCAACCGGGGACCUGCAUUUGAUACUGCAUCACUUGAGUACAGGAGAGGAGAGCGGAAUUUUCGGUGUAGCGGUGGAAUGUGUAGAUAUCGAAAAGAACACCAGUGGCGAAGGCGGCUCUCUGGCCUGAUACUGACGCUGACGCGCGAAAGCCAGGGGAGCAAACAGGAUUAGAUACCCUGGUAGUCCUGUCUGUAAACGUUGGGCACUAGGUGUUGGAGGUAUCGACCCCUUCAGUGCCGAAGCUAACGCAUUAAGUGCCCCGCCUGGGGAGUACGGCCGCAAGGCUG
This 864-nucleotide ribosomal RNA is filed under the name uncultured bacterium. RNAcentral describes it as "bacterial SSU rRNA". It matches the Rfam family "Bacterial small subunit ribosomal RNA", at positions 56 to 896 of the family's 1533-position model. The record is from RNAcentral.